AAGUCGUAACAAGGUUUCCGUAGGUGAACCUGCGGAAGGAUCAUUAACAAAUCGUAAUCGAUGACGAAAGUCAUCGGUGAGUGCACGGGCGCAAGCCCGUGUCACAUACGCCCGGUGCCGUAGAGUGCGCAUAGUGAUGUGUGCUACUCUGCUGGCCUGGUUGCAGUCUUCGGACUGUAGGCCGUACUACCUAGUGUAGUCGACCACAUAGACGCUUGUUUGUUUGACAGUACAGUUGCUUCAUAAUUGAUACAACUUUUAACAAUGGAUCUCUUGGCUCUU
Molecule: unclassified non-coding RNA, 282 nt
Filed under: fungal sp.
Lineage: Eukaryota; Fungi
Description: partial internal transcribed spacer region
Rfam family: Eukaryotic small subunit ribosomal RNA (bases 1-46)
Source: RNAcentral